RNAcentral lists this ribosomal RNA (301 nucleotides) under uncultured bacterium. Its description in RNAcentral is "partial 16S ribosomal RNA". It matches the Rfam family "Bacterial small subunit ribosomal RNA", at positions 509 to 809 of the family's 1533-position model. The record is from RNAcentral.
CAGUCGCCGCGGGAAUACGAAGGGUGCAAGCGUUACUCGGAAUUACUGGGCGUAAAGCGUGCGUAGGCGGCUUUUUAAGUCGGAUGUGAAAUCCCUGAGCUUAACUUAGGAAUUGCAUUCGAUACUGGGAAGUUAGAGUAUGGGAGAGGAUGGUAGAAUUCCAGGUGUAGCGGUGAAAUGCGUAGAGAUCUGGAGGAAUACCGAUGGCGAAGGCAGCCAUCUGGCCUAAUACUGACGCUGAGGUACGAAAGCAUGGGGAGCAAACAGGAUUAGAUACCCCGGUAGUCCCUGUCUCUUAUAU